GAGUUUGAUCAUGGCUCAUGAUAAACGCUGGCGGCGCACAUAAGACAUGCAAGUCGAACGAACUUAACCAUUAGUUUACUAUUGGAGCGGUUAGUGGCGGACUGGUGAGUAACACGUAAGCAACCUGCCUAUCAGAGGGGAACAACAGUUAGAAAUGACUGCUAAUACUGCAUAUGCCUUAGAAUCACAUGGUUCGAAAGGGAAAGGAGCAAUCCGCUGAUAGAUGGGCUUGCGU
Molecule: ribosomal RNA, 235 nt
Filed under: uncultured bacterium
Lineage: Bacteria
Description: partial 16S ribosomal RNA
Rfam family: Bacterial small subunit ribosomal RNA
Source: RNAcentral